AUUGCAGAAUCCCGUGAACCAUCGAGUCUUUGAACGCAAGUUGCGCCCCAAGCCGUUAGGCCGAGGGCACGUCUGCCUGGGUGUCACGCAUCGUUGCCCCACCCCACCCCCCCGGGGGCCCGGCGGUGCGGGCGGAUAUUGGCCUCCCGUGCGCUCCCCGCUCGCGGUUGGCCCAAAUCUGAGUCCUCGGCGACCGAAGCCGCGGCGAUCGGUGGUGAAUGAAAAGCCUCUCGAGCUCCCGCCGCGUGCCCGGUCUCCGCGAGGGGACUUCGCGACCCUGACGCCCCGCGCAAGCGGCGCUCGCAUCGCGACCCCAGGUCAGGCGGGAUCACCCGCUGAGUUUAAGCAUAUCAAUAAGCGGAGGAAAAGAAACUUACCAGGAUUCCCCUAGUAACGGCGAGCGAACCGGGAAGAGCCC
This 418-nucleotide ribosomal RNA is filed under the name Glycosmis esquirolii. Its description in RNAcentral is "eukaryotic LSU rRNA". The stretch from base 309 to 418 matches the Rfam family "Eukaryotic large subunit ribosomal RNA", at positions 1 to 110 of the family's 3401-position model. The record is from RNAcentral. Lineage: Eukaryota; Viridiplantae; Streptophyta; Magnoliopsida; Sapindales; Rutaceae.